Molecule: non-coding RNA, 73 nt
Organism: Bos taurus (domestic cattle)
Lineage: Eukaryota; Metazoa; Chordata; Mammalia; Artiodactyla; Bovidae
Source: Rfam
UCCCUGAUGGUUCAGUGGUUAAGACACCGCACUUCCAAUCCGAAGGACACAGGUUCACUUCCUGGUCAGGGAA